Molecule: long non-coding RNA, 417 nt
Organism: Lepidothrix coronata (blue-crowned manakin)
Lineage: Eukaryota; Metazoa; Chordata; Aves; Passeriformes; Pipridae
Exons: 2
Source: RefSeq, a predicted model, not a curated record
UUACUCCAGGUGGUGGCCAGGUGGAGGUGAAAUCUGAGAAACUGGACUUCAAAGAUAAGGUGCAAUCGAAAAUCGGGUCCUUAGAUAACAUCAGCCACGUCCCUGGAGGAGGGAAUAAAAAGAUUGAGACCCACAAGCUGACCUUCCGCGAGAACGCCAAAGCCAAGACCGACCACGGCGCUGAAAUCGUCUACAAGUCCCCCACCAUCUCCGGAGAUGCCUCCCCGCGCCGCCUUAGCAACGUCUCCUCCACCGGCAGCAUCAACCUGGUGGACUCCCCCCAGCUGGCCACGCUAGCCGACGAGGUGUCCGCCUCGCUGGCCAAGCAGGGCUUGUGAUCGGGGCACGGCGGCGACCAGGAGAGAAGACAAGGAAAGGAAACAAAAAAAAAAAAAAAAAAAAAAAAAAAAAAAAAAA